This is a long non-coding RNA of Daphnia magna, 1148 nucleotides long. RefSeq lists it as uncharacterized. The transcript has 4 exons. The record is from RefSeq and is a predicted model, not a curated record. Lineage: Eukaryota; Metazoa; Arthropoda; Branchiopoda; Diplostraca; Daphniidae.
UAGUGGAUCGUCUGCAGUAGGAAUUCAUGGUUCAUCAGAUGUGGCCUAGUUGUUAGGGAUUCGAGACGUGUUCACUGGGGGGAUAGUAAAUGUUCAGUGCGUUUGGUAGAAUGAAACAACACAUGACCAAUUACGUUAGAUCAAUUUUUCCCACAAGUGGAGAUUUAUUCCACAAUAUUCAGCUUUCCAGGCAGACACCCAUCCACAGAGCCAUGGGUGAUAUAUGAUAUUCACAGUGGGCAUGACUGUGCUGUAAAUUAGUAUCACUUUUACAAACCCAAACAGGUUUAGAUCACAUGUCUAACUGUGAAAGAGAUCAUGUGUCUGUCAACGAAGAAGGCUCUCUCUGUUUGCGCCAUCAGACCUCCCCAGUGUGUCAUUCUGAUGCAGAGCUCUUGAAAUGAAGUUGAAAGGUUUGAACCAUCUCAGGCCAAAGCUCAAGCUCUAGCUUUAGGUAUUAGAAAAGUGGUCGCCUUUUGGUUAGAGUUUCUUCGCCGUCCGGUGCAUCAAUCGGAAUGAUGUUCACUUCCUCGACGUCACUGCUCACGUAAUUUAAUAACUUUGUUCUUCGAAAAAAGUUGUACUACUAAUCUUAAAUUUUUCAAAGAAAACUUUGGUGCGUUAUUCUUAUGCCGAGGUUGUAUCGACCUUUAAAGGCAAAUCGGAAGAGGGUAUUCUUUUCCUUGACAUAAAGAACGGAAAUUUUAUGCAUUAGCAAGUCAUCCGCAUCCAAACAUAUUAAACGCACGAGGUAUUCCGCCUCGUUCGGCAACUUACCAUCCAGCAACGCAUCCAUCAACAUAAUGUAUUAUAGAGGAAAGUAAUGACCAAAUGCCGACUGGACGAUUUCCAUGCAAGAUGAAUGUUAAAAUCCAAGGAGAUCUGGUGAGGAGGAUGCAACGGACUAUGUCAUGUCAAACCAUUAGCUGAAUACAAUGAAUACUUUCAGUUCUCCAGAACGAGAGGCCAACAUAGGUAAAUAAUUGUACUGAAUCAAAAGAGGUACAUACUUGAACGAGUUUUUAAAACGAUAACAACUGGAAGUGCAUGUGGAAAUUUCAAUGGACGCUACCUGCACGUUACCUGAACGUUACUUUUAGUCGCUGAUUCAUCUCGAAGAUAAAAUAUUAAAAUUUUUAUAAAUUCAA